GCCCGGAUGGUGGAACGCAGACACGGGGAGCUUAAACCUCCCUGCCCUUGAGGCGUGCGGGUUCAAAUCCCGCUCCGGGCACCA
This 84-nucleotide transfer RNA is filed under the name Allostreptomyces psammosilenae. RNAcentral describes it as "tRNA-Leu". It matches the Rfam family "tRNA". Rfam says of the family: Transfer RNA (tRNA) molecules are approximately 80 nucleotides in length. Their secondary structure includes four short double-helical elements and three loops (D, anti-codon, and T loops). Further hydrogen bonds mediate the characteristic L-shaped molecular structure. tRNAs have two regions of fundamental functional importance: the anti-codon, which is responsible for specific mRNA codon recognition, and the 3' end, to which the tRNAs corresponding amino acid is attached (by aminoacyl-tRNA synthetases). tRNAs cope with the degeneracy of the genetic code in two manners: having more than one tRNA (with a specific anti-codon) for a particular amino acid; and 'wobble' base-pairing, i.e. permitting non-standard base-pairing at the 3rd anti-codon position. Lineage: Bacteria; Bacillati; Actinomycetota; Actinomycetes; Kitasatosporales; Streptomycetaceae. The record is from RNAcentral.